Non-coding RNA from Oryctolagus cuniculus (rabbit), 1093 nucleotides. The record is from RefSeq and is a predicted model, not a curated record. Lineage: Eukaryota; Metazoa; Chordata; Mammalia; Lagomorpha; Leporidae.
AAUCCAUUGAGGGGAAAAAAGUCAUUGUGUGCAGCCAAGUCAUUGUGCCUAGCUUUCUAAUUUUCUUAGAUUGUUACAACAGUUACUUUAUAUGUUAUUGUUGAAAUUCCUUUUGUUCUUUGCUGGUUUGCAUAAAAGUCCCCACUGUAUUGUUUCACAGGACCUGGUGUUUAUAUUAAUCAGGCACAUAGUGUUGUAAUUGCCAAAAUUAAUAAUUGUAUUUAUUACUUGUUAUAAAACAUUGGUUCAUAAUUGUAUUCAUUAAUAAAAAAUAUUUAAAUCACCAAAGAAUUAUUUUGGGUGGUAAGACACCAUGAACCAAUAUAGUUUGUAAACUUGUCUUCUUGGAUUUCAAACUGGUGAGGAAAAUGGAUAGAGGUGUGUAUACACAGAUACAUACAGAGAAAAAGACCAAUGACGCAUAAGUACGAUUCCUCAGGGCGUGGACACUAGCGGCCUGACUGGUGCUGCCAAUCUCUGGAUGUAUUCAGUGUCUGAAUUCAGGCGUGCCCUGUCCCUGUCCUUGGCUCUGUGCUGGGCUCUGGACUUGGUCUUGUAGCACUCCUAGGGCAGAGGGAGAGGCGGGAUGAGAGCAGCCAUGAGAGAGGUCCUUACUGAAAAUUCUAGGGAGUGGUACAGCUGGGAGCAAAAGGCAGGGAGGGAGGUGUCCAGGUGUCCGUCGGGAGGACUGGGGGCGACUCUAGCCACACCCGAACCAUGCGGAGAGUCCUGCCGGAAGUGGAACAGGCUGUGACCGGAAGUGAGGCGGGCUGUGACCGGAAGUGGGAAGGGCUGGUGACCGAAGCAGCCCGAGAGCCCCAGUGACGUCAGACAAGUCGGUGAGGCGCUAGGGGUUUCGUCUUUCCCAGAACCGAAGAGCAAGGGGAGGCUGCUUAAACGUCUGCCCGGGGGAGCCUGGCGCUCAGCUAAAUCCAAAGAUGCCAAAGAAAGAAGAGAUACACAGAAACUGUAUCAUUUUUAUCAUGUGUUUGGAAGGUCUUUGGUAGGAAGUAACAGAUCAGUAAGGAUUACAAAAGCGGGCUCGCUGCCAUCUCCAGCAAAUUCUUCCAGGCAGAAGAAAAGACAACAUCAG